Molecule: ribosomal RNA, 800 nt
Filed under: uncultured Chloroflexota bacterium
Lineage: Bacteria; Bacillati; Chloroflexota
Description: bacterial SSU rRNA
Rfam family: Bacterial small subunit ribosomal RNA
Source: RNAcentral
ACCUGCCGAGCAAUCGGCGGGGAGUGGCGGAAGGGUGAGUACCACGUAGGAGAUCUACCUCACCGCAGGGGCCAACCUGGCGAAAGCGAGGCUAAUACCCAAAAGGCUCGCGCGUUCGGUCGCGCGAGGAGAGUACGUCGCAAGACGUGCGUGGUGAGCGGGUCCUGCGCCCCAUCAGCUAGUUGGUAGGGUAGCGGCCUACCAAGGCAACGACGGGUAGGGGGUCUGAGAGGACGAUCCCCCACACUGGAACUGAAACACGGUCCAGACGCCUACGGGUGGCAGCAGGGAGGAAUAUUGCACAAUGGGCGACAGCCCGAUGCAGCAACGCCGCGUGGAGGAUGAAGGCCUUCGGGUCGUAAACUCCUUUGGAGGGAGACGAGCAAGGACGGUAUCCCUCGAACAAGCCACGGCUAACUACGUGCCAGCAGCCGCGGUAAAACGUAGGUGGCGAGCGUUAUCCGGAUUCAUUGGGCGUAAAGAGCUUGUAGGUGGCGGCGUAAGUUGGACGUGAAAUCGCCCGGCUCAACCGGGCGGGGUCGUUCAAUACUGCGCGGCUAGAGGAGGUCAGAGGGAAGUGGAAUUCCUGGUGUAGCAGUGAAAUGCGUAGAUAUCAGGAGGAACACCCGUGGCGAAGGCGGCUUCCUGGGGCCAUCCUGACACUGAGAAGCGAAAGCUAGGGGAGCGAACGGGAUUAGAAACCCCGGUAGUCCUAGCCGUAAACGAUGGACGCUAGGUGUGCGCAGAUCUAACCCUGCGCGUGCCGAAGCUAACGCGUUAAGCGUCCCGCCUGGGAACUA